GACGAACGCUGGCGGCGUGCUUAACACAUGCAAGUCGAACGGAAAGGCCCUGCUUUUGUUGGGUGCUCGAGUGGCGAACGGGUGAUUAACACGUUAGUAACCUGCCCUUGACUUUGGGAUAACUUCAGGAAACUGGGGCUAAUACCGGAUAUGAUCUCCUGCUGCAUGGUGGGGGUUGGAAAGUUUCGGCGGGUGGGGAUGGACUCGCGGCUUAUCAGCUUGUUGGUGGGGUAGUGGCUUACCAAGGCUUUGACGGGUAGCCGGCCUGAGAGGGUGACCGGCCACAUUGGGACUGAGAUACGGCCCAGACUACUAAGGGAGGAAGCAGUGGGGAAUAUUGAACAAUGGGCGGAAGCCUGAUGCAGCAACGACGAGUGCGGGAUGACGGCCUUCGGGUUGUAAACCGCUUUCGCCUGUGACGAAGAGUGAGUGACGGUAAUGGGUAAAGAAGCACCGGCUAACUACGUG
This 468-nucleotide ribosomal RNA is filed under the name uncultured bacterium. RNAcentral describes it as "partial 16S ribosomal RNA". It matches the Rfam family "Bacterial small subunit ribosomal RNA", at positions 28 to 507 of the family's 1533-position model. The record is from RNAcentral.